AUUGAACGCUGGCGGCAUGCUUUACACAUGCAAGUCGAACGGUAACAGGCCUUCGGGUGCUGACGAGUGGCGAACGGGGGAGUAAUGCAUCGGAACGUGCCCAGAGGUGGGGGAUAACGCAGCGAAAGCUGUGCUAAUACCGCAUGUGAUCUGAGGAUGAAAGCGGGGGACCAGGCAGCAAUGUUUGGCCUCGCGCCUUUGGAGCGGCCGAUGUCAGAUUAGGUAGUUGGUGGGGUAAAGGCCUACCAAGCCGACGAUCUGUAGCUGGUCUGAGAGGACGACCAGCCACACGUCGUCUGUAACUCGGCCCAGACUCCUACGGGUUGCAGCAGUGGCGAAUUUUGGACAAUGGGCGCAAGCCUGAUCCAGCAAUGCCGCGUGCGGGAAGAAGGCCUUCGGGUUGUAAACCGCUUUUGUACGGAACGAAAAGGCUCUGGCUAAUACCUGGCGCUGAUGACGGUACCGUAAGAAUAAGCACCGGCUAACUACGUG
Molecule: ribosomal RNA, 492 nt
Filed under: uncultured bacterium
Lineage: Bacteria
Description: partial 16S ribosomal RNA
Rfam family: Bacterial small subunit ribosomal RNA
Source: RNAcentral